Molecule: ribosomal RNA, 557 nt
Filed under: uncultured bacterium
Lineage: Bacteria
Description: bacterial SSU rRNA
Rfam family: Bacterial small subunit ribosomal RNA
Source: RNAcentral
ACGGGUGAGUAACACGUGGGAACGUACCUUUCGGUUUGGAAUAAUUCAGGGAAACUUGGACUAAUACCGGAUACGCCCUUCGGGGGAAAGAUUUAUCGCCGAAAGAUCGGCCCGCGUCUGAUUAGCUAGUUGGUGAGGUAAAGGCUCACCAAGGCGACGAUCAGUAGCUGGUCUGAGAGGAUGAUCAGCCACAUUGGGACUGAGACACGGCCCAAACUCCUACGGGAGGCAGCAGUGGGGAAUAUUGGACAAUGGGCGCAAGCCUGAUCCAGCCAUGCCGCGUGAGUGAUGAAGGCCUUAGGGUUGUAAAGCUCUUUUGUCCGGGAAGAUAAUGACUGUACCGGAAGAAUAAGCCCCGGCUAACUUCGUGCCAGCAGCCGCGGUAAUACGAAGGGGGCUAGCGUUGCUCGGAAUCACAGGGCGUAAAGGGCGCGUAGGCGGACUUUUAAGUCGGAGGUGAAAGCCCAGGGCUCAACCCUGGAAUUGCCUUCGAUACUGGGAGUCUUGAGUUCGGAAGAGGUUGGUGGAACUGCGAGUGUAGAGGUGAAAUUCGUAGA